RNAcentral lists this long non-coding RNA (605 nucleotides) under Mus spicilegus (steppe mouse). Its description in RNAcentral is "lncRNA (ENSMSIG00000017147.1)". Lineage: Eukaryota; Metazoa; Chordata; Mammalia; Rodentia; Muridae. The record is from RNAcentral.
GCUCAGUCUAUCAUUCUGUUAUUCAGUCAAGGUGAACAAGUGUUAAAUGUGAAGGCUAUAUACAACAUACCUUGCUGUGAGUGGGUGGGAACCUUGCAUUCAUUGAUAUUAGCUUUGAGCUUAUGUCAAUGAUUUGGUACAUAAGGUGACAUUCUUAUGAUUACAGAAUUCCAUAUGUCAUAAAUAUGAGAAAGCUCUCAAUGCAUAAUUCGGGCAGUUCCACACAUAAAUACUAGGUGGCAGCCCAACACUGCCUUUGGGUAAUUGAGGAGUCUUGUCUGAUUCUCUACCCAGCACAUUAAUGGAAAAUUUUAGAUGCUUUAAGAAGGGCUUUCAGUGGGAAGGUUUACAGAAAUAAGUAAAUGAUGCUGAUGACACAUUUGUUAACUGCCUUUCUCCAAACCACUUUUUAAAUUACGAAUUAUACAUGCAAUUUAAUGAGACGGCAAAAACUUAAGGCAACUGAAAAAUAGGCAGAGGAUGUAAAUAGCUAUUUUAUAGGAGCAAUGCACAAGGCAAUGACCAUAUGCGGUGGGUGUUUAACUUUUUGGAAGAUGAGAAAUUAUAAUUAUGGUGAAGAACACUGUGGAAAAUGCCAAAAGUAG